CUUUUCGGCAAUACCCGGAUGGAAGCGUAAUGGCCGCCAUCAGGGACUCGCAGGCAAUGGGGACCACGACAGAUAUCGUCUCUUCUUUUGAUCACUGUUCCUGAUUGUGGCUUUGUCCAAGCAUUAAAUUGCGUGCCUUUUGUUCCUUGAAGAAGGAGCUGGUGCUAACAAGUCCCAACUCGACCCCUGGACCCAGCUCAAAACUCUGGAUUCAUUCUCUUCCUUCCCAUACCUCAGCCUAAGCUUUCUGUCUCCCCAAAGGGUACCACAUGAUCUUCUUCUCAAGUCCUCACUUUCUAGAAUCUCAAGGUAUGUUCAGGGAGGAAGUGGGCAGAUUUAUGUCCUUUACUUUCUUACUUAGGGCAUAAGAGAUGCUUAUUAAAUGCUUAUUAAAUGAAUGUCCCCUAGGCAAAUUCCUCUUUAAAAGUGGUACUUGGCAGUGGGUUAGCAUUU
RNAcentral lists this long non-coding RNA (453 nucleotides) under Ursus americanus (American black bear). RNAcentral describes it as "lncRNA (ENSUAMG00000020747.1)". Lineage: Eukaryota; Metazoa; Chordata; Mammalia; Carnivora; Ursidae. The record is from RNAcentral.